Long non-coding RNA from Maniola jurtina (meadow brown), 296 nucleotides. RefSeq lists it as uncharacterized. Lineage: Eukaryota; Metazoa; Arthropoda; Insecta; Lepidoptera; Nymphalidae. The record is from RefSeq and is a predicted model, not a curated record. The transcript has 3 exons.
AUUGUAGAAAUUAUAAUUUUGUAUUUUAUUUUAUUUUAUUUUUAUUUUCGGAUCAACAAACGGUAGCACGCAGUGCUUGGAAAAAAACAGUAAUGAUAUAAAUACAGUAAUACUAUACGUGCUACCCACUACGUCAACCACAUAUUAUUAAUUAUGCUUUACUACAUAGUUACAUCUAUAAAUUAAUAUUAGUGUUGUAAUAUAUUAGUUAAGUUAUCGUCUAUAUUCUAAUUACCCUACAGCCUUAGCUUAAUAUAGUAUUAUUAUUUUUAAGAGAAUCUAUGACCAGCUUCUUG